Long non-coding RNA from Hibiscus syriacus, 915 nucleotides. RefSeq lists it as uncharacterized. The record is from RefSeq and is a predicted model, not a curated record. The transcript is spliced from 2 exons. Lineage: Eukaryota; Viridiplantae; Streptophyta; Magnoliopsida; Malvales; Malvaceae.
CAUAGAUCUCCAUUUUACUAUCCUCCCGCCGCACUCUCUCAAAAUCUUCUCUCCCUCUUUUUGACGAGGAACCCAAAAGCCAGUGGCCACUUUGGCCACCGCUCUUCAACCGUUCCGAUGAGCGGCUUUUCUACCCCAAACGGUCUCCUUAAGCCCAAUUUAGAGUCCCUAACCCAACUUGCCUCCUGAAUCGAACCAAACCAAGACCCUAACCCUCAAAACUAUUCCUUUUUAACACCCACUCUCAACCAAACGAGAACCCAAAAAGAAAAGGGAUUACCUUUGGUGCUCAGACGACUCUCCUGACUCAGGCGAAACAUCGACGGCCACUCGUUCCCGAAGGUCCUCUGAUCAUGUUUGCAUGGAAGAUCCUAGGGUUCAAAGCUGCUUGGUGUCCUUUUGGGUUUGUAACAAACAAAUUCGGUGCCUAUUCUCUCUCCAUGUUGCUUUCCUGACAUUGGCUUAUGAGGAGAGGUCUCUGCAUAGCAGAGGAGAUUUGUCCAUCCCCCUGGCAGACUGCUCCUUCAGGCUGCGAUGAUUUCUGGGACCACACUGGUUGAGCAUGGGUAGAGGCUUGGUGGAGAAAUCAUGUGUUGUUGUCUAACGAACCAUUGACGUGGAAACAUCCAUGACGUUUAGGCAUUUUUGUUUAACGAAAAAAACAGGUGAGGAGAUUGGUGGCUUCGAGUGAGCUAUACGUGCGGCUUUGGGAGUUGUUGGAUUCACCUUGGCCGUUAGAUCACAGAUCCAGAUCUAACGACCAUAACUUGGCUACGUGGACGUCAUUAGUGCCUGGAACCCUAAUUUUACCCUUGGUACGAAUCUAUGCCAUUUAUUAUACUUAUAUGGGGUAAAAAGCUGAUUCGACUUGUAAAAUUAACUGAAAUUGAUUUAAGAUGAAAUUGUUUUUGGCCU